Molecule: long non-coding RNA, 740 nt
Filed under: Hordeum vulgare
Lineage: Eukaryota; Viridiplantae; Streptophyta; Magnoliopsida; Poales; Poaceae
Description: long non-coding RNA (HVUL_LNC005740)
Source: RNAcentral
GACGAGUUGUGGACCAUGGGCGAAAAGAAGAAAGAUGGAGCGAAACACACGCUCUAUGAGAGGACAAGGUGAUGGAGACUUUCUCUUACCCUUGUCUUGUAAACAUAUUUCCCCUUUGUUCCUGCAGGCAUCAGGUGGAAAACAACCAUACUAGCCAACAAAAAACAUCACAAAGAAAUGCUCCAAUUAGGAAGAAUAAUUUGUCAAAUGGCACACCACGAUGCGUGCAUCCAUCCGCCACGCGCGAGUUACUGUCGGGAAUACACUUCAUAGUCAUAGUGCAUAGACCAUCACGAUGGAGUCUACUUUAGCUAGUUACAACAUGGAAGUAAUUUCUGUUCUAAUUGACGCCUCGUUUAAAAUUUGAAGAAGUUACAUAAACUUCUUUCGGUGAUAGUGCCCAAGUGAAGUGACUCGCUCAUAAUGUCCCAGAGUUGGAUGCGUUCGAUGUAGAUCCCGGAUAUUGCGGACAACUUGCUGGCUACUCGUAGGCGCUACAAUAUGACAAGGACGAGGGAGAUGUUAGAUGUAGAUGACACAGCUGCUGGAUCAGGCGGCACAAUCAAAGAGCAUCCACCUAGUUUCGUUCCUAGCAGGUUCCUCAUGCUUCCUAUUCCCAAACAAGAGAGCUUGCUUUCUCACCAUCACAUAUAUGUAAUUGGAUUCCAAACAUGCGUACAUAUGUUUGAGUGCACGAAACUAGUUAGGACUUUGGAACUGGGGUACAACCUACAAGAGGC